UGUAUGUACUACAUAUUUGACUUUUAAUCAAGGUGUCCGGAGUUCGAAUCUCCGAUGGAUCACCA
This 65-nucleotide transfer RNA is filed under the name Caudoviricetes sp. RNAcentral's name for it is "tRNA-Lys". It matches the Rfam family "tRNA", at positions 11 to 71 of the family's 71-position model. From Rfam's summary of the family: Transfer RNA (tRNA) molecules are approximately 80 nucleotides in length. Their secondary structure includes four short double-helical elements and three loops (D, anti-codon, and T loops). Further hydrogen bonds mediate the characteristic L-shaped molecular structure. tRNAs have two regions of fundamental functional importance: the anti-codon, which is responsible for specific mRNA codon recognition, and the 3' end, to which the tRNAs corresponding amino acid is attached (by aminoacyl-tRNA synthetases). tRNAs cope with the degeneracy of the genetic code in two manners: having more than one tRNA (with a specific anti-codon) for a particular amino acid; and 'wobble' base-pairing, i.e. permitting non-standard base-pairing at the 3rd anti-codon position. Lineage: Duplodnaviria; Heunggongvirae; Uroviricota; Caudoviricetes. The record is from RNAcentral.